This 482-nucleotide ribosomal RNA is filed under the name uncultured bacterium. RNAcentral describes it as "partial 16S ribosomal RNA". It matches the Rfam family "Bacterial small subunit ribosomal RNA", at positions 30 to 507 of the family's 1533-position model. The record is from RNAcentral.
AUUGAACGCUGGCGGCAUGCCUUACACAUGCAAGUCGAACGGUAACAGGUCUUCGGAUGCUGACGAGUGGAGAACGGGUGAGUAAUACAUCGGAACGUGCCCGAUCGUGGGGGAUAACGAGGCGAAAGCUUUGCUAAUACCGCAUACGAUCUACGGAUGAAAGCGGGGGAUCUUCGGACCUCGCGCGGACGGAGCGGCCGAUGGCAGAUUAGGUAGUUGGUGGGAUAAAAGCUUACCAAGCCGACGAUCUGUAGCUGGUCUGAGAGGAUGAUCAGCCACACUGGGACUGAGACACGGCCCAGACUCCUACGGGAGGCAGCAGUGGGGAAUUUUGGACAAUAGGCGAAAGCCUGAUCCAGCCAUGCCGCGUGCAGGAUGAAGGCCUUCGGGUUGUAAACUGCUUUUGUACGGAACGAAAAGCCUCUUUCUGAUAAAGAGGGGUCAUGACGGUACCGGAAGAAUAAGCACCGGCUAACUACGUG